GAUGAAGAACGUAGUAAAAUGCGAUAAGUAAUGUGAAUUGCAGAAUUCAGUGAAUCAUCGAAUCUUUGAACGCACAUUGCGCCCGCCAGUAUUCUGGCGGGCAUGCCUGUUCGAGCGUCAUUUCAACCCUCAAGCCCUCGGGUUUGGUGUUGGGGAUCGGCGAGCCUUUCUGGCAAGCCGGCCCCGAAAUCUAGUGGCGGUCUCGCUGCAGCCUCCAUUGCGUAGUAGUAAAACCCUCGCAACUGGAACGCGGCGCGGCCAAGCCGUUAAACCCCCAACUUCUGAAUGUUGACCUCGGAUCAAGUAGGAAUACCCGCUGAACUUAAGCAUAUCAAUAAGCGGAGGA
RNAcentral lists this unclassified non-coding RNA (346 nucleotides) under soil metagenome. RNAcentral describes it as "partial contains 5.8S ribosomal RNA, internal transcribed spacer 2, and large subunit ribosomal RNA". The stretch from base 1 to 120 matches the Rfam family "5.8S ribosomal RNA", at positions 35 to 154 of the family's 154-position model. The record is from RNAcentral.